RNAcentral lists this ribosomal RNA (477 nucleotides) under uncultured bacterium. Its description in RNAcentral is "bacterial SSU rRNA". It matches the Rfam family "Bacterial small subunit ribosomal RNA", at positions 17 to 518 of the family's 1533-position model. The record is from RNAcentral.
UCCUGGCUUAGGAUUAACGCUGGCGGCGUGCCUAACACAUGCAAGUCGAACGAAAUAUCUUCGGAUAUUUAGUGGCGAACGGGUGAGUAAUGUACAGGUAAUGUACCUUCGUACUGCGAAUAACAAGCUGAAAAGUUUGCUAAUACGGAAUAGUUUCCUUCGAGGGCAUCCUUAAAGGAAUAAAGAUUUAUCGUGCGGAGAUCAGCCUGUAUCCUAUUAGUUAGUUGGUGGGGUAAUGGCCUACCAAGACGACGAUGGGUAACUGGUCUGAGAGGAUGAGCAGUCACAUUGGAACUGAGAAACGGUCCAAACUCCUACGGGAGGCAGCAGUGAGGAAUUUUGCGCAAUGGGGGAAACCCUGACGCAGCAACGCCGCGUGAGUGAUGACGGCCUUCGGGUUGUAAAGCUCUGUCGUGUGUGACGAGUAGGGACGGUAACACACAAGGAAGCCUCGGCUAACUACGUGCCAGCCGCGGC